This is a long non-coding RNA of Paramacrobiotus metropolitanus, 863 nucleotides long. RefSeq lists it as uncharacterized. Lineage: Eukaryota; Metazoa; Tardigrada; Eutardigrada; Parachela; Macrobiotidae. The transcript has 4 exons. The record is from RefSeq and is a predicted model, not a curated record.
UCGGGUGUUUCUAACUGCUUGCUUUACCUAAAUACACAGCACAUAAUUUAUUUUGUGUAUAAUAUAUUCAAAUUGUAUGACGACGUAAGUACAGUAAUUAAAAUUGUAUUGCAAAAAUAAAUAAAAAUUGCAAGAAAAUAGCUUAGGAUUUCCUAUGAAAGACACCACUAUCGUAAAGACGCUAAACGAGCACUCUUUCAUAGCGCGUCCUAACUUCUACGUAUUACUACACUGCACAAACCAACUUUCUCUUCCGUUAUUAAAGCCACCUAAGUACUAUUGUCAUCAAAAUAACAUUCCGAUACCAAGAGAUCUUUGCGGCACACGAAGAGCGGCUGUUGACCCGUAUAGCGCCAAUUAGUGCUGUAUUGGAUACUGCAUUAGUAUUGUUCAUCUGUCGUGUGUGAGAAUAAUCAAAGCGGCACUAGAUGCCGGCCGCGCGGCGGCGCGCCGGUGUAGGUCAGAGAAACUGAGCUUGUAUGCCACGAAGACGCGGGGCUAAUAAUGCGCGUUAUAUCUACCGGCAUACUUCCGCCUUAACCGGCGCAUUCGGAUCUUCUGUAACGCUCGCAUCUCUGCUGACUUUCCGUUUCUUCUCUUGGACGGCUAUUGACUUUCACUUGGUCAACGCGGAAUUACCUGGCAUCUUUUUGCCGUGUUUACUGCGUAUCGCGGAUAGAGAAUGCGGAGAACAGUAUUAUCGGUAUCCCUGUGUUUUGCCCUCCUGGCUGGAGUCAACGGUGCUCCGGCCAUUCCCUUCCAUCAUCCGGCUAUUGAAGCCAGGUAUUCAGGAGGCGGCGGAGAUGGUAAUGUGGUCCAGAACAGCAACGACGCCGAAAUGGGCCAGCUAAGUGGAAUAUUCA